Molecule: long non-coding RNA, 903 nt
Filed under: Polistes fuscatus (common paper wasp)
Lineage: Eukaryota; Metazoa; Arthropoda; Insecta; Hymenoptera; Vespidae
Description: uncharacterized LOC122517428
Source: RNAcentral
AGAUCGGUGUCAUCGAUUGGUUGGUUGUUUGUUCGAUCGGUCGAUCGGUCGGUUGUUUGAUUGUUUGAUUGGUUGGUUCGUUGUUUGUGGGUGAUUUGGUUGGUCGGUGGGUUGGCGAGUCGCGUCGCGAGAAGAAAGCAAUAUCGGCGCUAUAAAUAUCUCGUUGUGGUACCUCGCGCGAAUCCGCUUGGCGAAAACUUGUUUGCCGUAGUAGCUCGAGGCGCGUGCGAAAAGCUCCGAUUGGUUGAUCAAAGAAAGAGAGAGAGAACCAUCUGACCAACCCCUCCUAGUUUUGUGUGCGCCGCACGCUCUUCAAAUAUCCCCCCUCCCCUUUCCUCGCGUUUGGUUUAGUUAGCGUAGUGUCUCUCGCGUUCGGCAGUUGUCGUCGUCGCGUUUCCGUGAACGAUUCGUUAAAUGAGACUCUAAAUUUAGCGCUGACCGUGGUGUCUUGUCAUGUCGUCGUCUUCGUCGUCGUCGUCGUCGUAUCACUGAAGAAAGAAAAAUAAAAUACCGUUCUUUGUGCUAUUGGUUUUUUCCCUCUACUUGUGUCUUUCUAAUAUAAUUUACUUAUACAAUAUUAUUAUUAAUUUACAUUUUCGAAAGUGAUCUUCUCAAUUUUGCUAUCCCCCCUAAAAAGGAACGUAGUGUCAAUUCACCACCGAGUCGUGUAUUGUAUAAUUUGUGAUACAUAUAUAUAUUUAUUCUCGACGAUAAUCAAAAUAAUAAAAAACAUGUUUAAGUGCGGGUACACGAGUGAUGGGGGGUUUAUUCGUUUCAUCGUCAGCGACACGUUUGCAGAGGAGGAGGAAUAUGUGAUGAAAUCAUUUUUCAAUCGUAUUCUUAUAUAUUGUGAUACACGUAUAAGUGGAAACAAACAAACAAAUAAAUAAAUAAAUAAAUAAA